AAAGUAUCCAGUGGCUGCACAGAUUCCUAAGAGUUUAAGGUAAAAACAAAGUAGGUUUUCUGAUUUGUUCCUGUUAUUUAAUCUAGUGAGUGUCUUCUGUGAAAUACGUAAUCAUUUCUGGGAUCAGGAGCUAUAAGAUAAGUCUCCCCACACUCUCUGCCCUGUGACUCUGGCUCUCCUCACCCACUCACCUUCUCACCGAAUGGCUUUAUCUUCCUGGCUGCAGAGUGUUUCACCUUCUAGAUGAUGUGAAAUCAUUUCUAUUUCACCUUGCAACACCUGCAGCCCAAGCUGGGAACUGGAGAUCCACAUCCUGCACACCUCCCCCGUAACAGCAACAACAUCCACUGAAAUGUGACAUCUUUAUUCCAUGGGAGCAUUCUGGAUGUUGCACUGAAGAGUGCUUUGUUGCUGAAGUGGCAGGCUAGAAGUUGUUCCUGAAACAGAUCUUACCCUUCAUCAGACUAUUUCUGUGUUCUGAAUAUCCAGUGGUACCAAUUAAUGCUUGCAGAUUAUUAAUUAAUGAAGCAGCCUGGGAGGAUUUAUGAUGAAAGACUCUCUGGGCAUUAAGGCGGCUGUUCUGGACACCCUGGAUCCUCCGAGUAGGAUUGACAUCUGCAAGAACAAGGAAAAGCCAAGGGAAAGCCUGACAUGGAGGGAGACAGCCCUCAUAUGUAACCUGGGAGCUCUCCCUGCGCUGCAGCCAAGAGAUUGUGCCUCACGUGUGUGCACUGCAGAAGCAGCCAGCCUCAGUGUGACUGAGGAGAAUGGGCAAUAGCAGAAAAGCCUGGUUUUCCUGGGUCCUGGAAUAAGGAAAAUAAAAUACAACCAGUUUCUUUCCCUGACA
Molecule: long non-coding RNA, 847 nt
Filed under: Anser brachyrhynchus (Pink-footed goose)
Lineage: Eukaryota; Metazoa; Chordata; Aves; Anseriformes; Anatidae
Description: lncRNA (ENSABRG00000010846.1)
Source: RNAcentral